ACGUAGGGCCCAAGCGUUGUUCGGAUUUACUGGGCGUAAAGGGCGCGUAGGCGGCAAUUCAAGUCAGCUGUGAAAUCUCCGGGCUUAACUCGGAACGGUCAGCUGAUACUGCUUUGCUAGAGUGCAGAAAGGGCAAUCGGAAUUCUUGGUGUAGCGGUGAAAUGCGUAGAUAUCAAGAGGAACACCUGAGGCGAAGGCGGGUUGCUAGGCUGACACUGACGCUGAGGCGCGAAAGCUAGGGUAGCAAACGGGAUUAGAUACCCCGGUAGUCCUAGCCCUAAGCGAUGAAUACUUGGUGUCUGGAGUUUUUAUCCUCCGGGUGCCGUCGCUAACGUUUUAAGUAUUCCGCCUGGGGAGUACGCACGCAAGUGUG
Molecule: ribosomal RNA, 373 nt
Filed under: uncultured bacterium
Lineage: Bacteria
Description: bacterial SSU rRNA
Rfam family: Bacterial small subunit ribosomal RNA
Source: RNAcentral